Long non-coding RNA from Myotis daubentonii (Daubenton's bat), 496 nucleotides. RefSeq lists it as uncharacterized. The record is from RefSeq and is a predicted model, not a curated record. Lineage: Eukaryota; Metazoa; Chordata; Mammalia; Chiroptera; Vespertilionidae.
UUUGCAUAUUGAGCUUCCAGAACUAUUUUCAACUACCCGGAGCAGCUGGGCAUGAAGAGCACAUUCUUAUGUCUUUAGCUACAAAUUGCACACGACUUAAAAACUUGCCUUUGAAUUGAACUCGUAGACAUUGAUUUAGUCCGUUUCAGACCCACACUCACAGUCUCUAUUGGAAAACAUGUUUUGUCAAGUGAAGGGGAUAUUUCUCUAAGAAGCAUUCCGAAGCAGCCACAAAGAGCUACGUGAAACGAACACUGCAAAAAUCAGUUUGUUGAAAUAGAAGACACCCCUGCAUGGAGUUUUGUUAUUCACUCUUGUAGAAAAGACUUCCCCCUUUUCAAGAAUAACUACCAUCCUGAAACCAUCCUCCCUUCCCUUCCGUAACUGCCACCAUUUAGAAGCAUUUGUGCGGCCCUGAUCUCACCAGGCAGCACCUACAGUUGGUCUGUACGUGACAAAGUCUGGAUUAUGUCUUCAGUUUGCACGAGGCUUCCUC